ACGAACACUAGUUUAAACCAAGGCAAUUGAAACUGUGCUUUUAUGGUGUAUUGAGCUGUUUUAAAGUUGCCUGGCAUCAGAACAUGACCAUCUUAAGCUGUAAUGUUAGAAACCAAUGCAUAAACACUAAAACAUCUUUUUUUAGCUUUUCAGGUCAUAAGUACACUAGUUUAAACCACGGCAUAUGCAACUGUGCUUUUAGGGUGUAUUGACCUGUUUUAAAGUAUUCUGGCAUCAGAACAUGAUCAUUAGAGGCUGUUCUGAUUGAAACCAAUGCAUAAACACUAAAACAUUGUUUUUGAGCUUUUCAGGUCAUAAUGUGGUAAAUUCUGUUCCUCCUAUGGAGUUAUUUCUGCCCAUUGCAACAAAUGUCAAGUUGACCGUGGUGUCAGAUUGGCCACUAAAACAAAUAAACUGCUGCAGCUGAGUAAACAUGGACUUUCGAUGGACACGUAGGCACUUGCUGGUUGCAUAAACAGCACAGCUUAAAAAGUGGGCAUUGGGAGAUGUUUCUUAGAGUGCUUCGCAGAGGGUCUGCUGCAGACACCCAGCUGACCUUUUUCGACCUCUCAGUUCUUUCUGCAGAAGAACAAGCGGAAUGGCGUCACGAACACAGGCGUGAGGAGCCGUGUCCAGAACCAACAUUUGUCCGGACUGGCCCGGACGCACGACCGUCGUCAUCAUUGAAGGUAAAUAGCGCUUAAAGCUUUUACAUGACGAUUCUCUGUGUUCGUGACAGUGUGAGCAAAUGUUGGUAAGAUUAGAGAAAUCUGAUCAUUAAAUUCUGAUUUGGCUGCUUCUAGUAAAGUAUCUGUGUGGGAGAGACAAAGAGAGGCGGUGGAGAAUUUACCUGUGCCUAUAUUGCUGUAAAUAGCUGCUUUGCAUAACCAACUGCUGUGUGUGUAUGUGCUAUCUUGCGCUUGGGGAAAAAUGACAUGGCCUAUUGACCUCUAGAAGUUACGUAGGUUAACGUGAGGCAGACGACGUUGGGAAAAUCUAAAGUAUGGGCGUUGUAGUCUGCAUUCGGAUAAAAUAAAUUUAAGGCUGUGUAAGUUCUGUGUCGACGC
RNAcentral lists this long non-coding RNA (1067 nucleotides) under Betta splendens (Siamese fighting fish). RNAcentral's name for it is "lncRNA (ENSBSLG00000015787.1)". The record is from RNAcentral. Lineage: Eukaryota; Metazoa; Chordata; Actinopteri; Anabantiformes; Osphronemidae.